CAGGGCUGCAGCGGGCGCUGCUGGCAGCACAGCGCUGGGACGGGCGCAGUGACGGCUCCACAGGUUCGCAGCCCUACGAGGAGAUGGGGGGCACAAGGAGGGCAGCAGCGCCGCGUCGGGACGGGCACGAGGACGAUGCCAGCUCCUAUGAGAACAUGGCGGGCGCUGAGCUGACCCCGUGACCCUGCCGUGACCCCAUGUGACCCUGCUGUGACCUCGGGUGACCCCAUAACCACACCGUGACCCCGCUGUGACCUCGUGUGACCCCAUGACCACACCAUGACCCCAGCGUGACCCCAUGACCCUGCUGUGACCCCACUGUGACCCCUUCUGACCCCAAUGGACCCCAUAGGGAUUCCAUAGAGCCCCACUGACCCCAUAGAUACACCACAGACCCCACAGAGACCCCAUAGAGAUCCCAUAGAGCCCCACAGACCCCAUA
Lagopus leucura (white-tailed ptarmigan) is the source of this 442-nucleotide long non-coding RNA. RefSeq lists it as uncharacterized. NCBI's taxonomy places the organism in Eukaryota, Metazoa, Chordata, Aves, Galliformes, Phasianidae. The record is from RefSeq and is a predicted model, not a curated record. The transcript has 3 exons.